UGGGGAAUAUUGCACAAUGGAGGGAACUCUGAUGCAGCGACGCCGCGUGAGUGAUGAAGGACUUCGUUUCGUAAAACUCUGUUCUAUGGGAAGAAAAGGACUGUACCAUAGGAGAAAGCUCCGGCUAAAUACGUGCCAGCAGCCGCGGUAAUACGUAUGGAGCGAGCGUUGUCCGGAAUUAUUGGGCGUAAAGGGUGCGCAGGCGGCUUUACAAGUUGGAUGUGAAAUAUUGUGGCUCAACCACAAACGUGCAUCCAAAACUGCAAAGCUUGAGUUAAGGAGAGGUAAGUGGAAAUCCUGGUGUAGCGGUGGAAUGCGUAGAUAUCAGGGGGAAUACCGGUGGCGAAGGCGACUUACUGGACUUAAACUGACGCUCAGGCACGGAAGCGUGGGGAGCAAACAGG
RNAcentral lists this ribosomal RNA (404 nucleotides) under Fusobacteriota bacterium. RNAcentral's name for it is "Fusobacteria bacterium partial 16S ribosomal RNA". It matches the Rfam family "Bacterial small subunit ribosomal RNA", at positions 355 to 776 of the family's 1533-position model. Lineage: Bacteria; Fusobacteriati; Fusobacteriota. The record is from RNAcentral.